GGGCGGUUAGCUCAGCUGGUUAGAGCGCAUGCUUGACAUGCAUGAGGUCGUUGGUUCAAAUCCAAUACCGCCCA
Molecule: transfer RNA, 74 nt
Filed under: Hyphomicrobium sp.
Lineage: Bacteria; Pseudomonadati; Pseudomonadota; Alphaproteobacteria; Hyphomicrobiales; Hyphomicrobiaceae
Also listed under: 3 other names
Description: tRNA-Val
Rfam family: tRNA
About the family: Transfer RNA (tRNA) molecules are approximately 80 nucleotides in length. Their secondary structure includes four short double-helical elements and three loops (D, anti-codon, and T loops).
Source: RNAcentral